RNAcentral lists this ribosomal RNA (1375 nucleotides) under Klebsiella pneumoniae. Its description in RNAcentral is "partial 23S ribosomal RNA". It matches the Rfam family "Bacterial large subunit ribosomal RNA", at positions 104 to 1527 of the family's 2925-position model. Lineage: Bacteria; Pseudomonadati; Pseudomonadota; Gammaproteobacteria; Enterobacterales; Enterobacteriaceae. The record is from RNAcentral. RNAcentral also lists the same sequence under 2 other names.
CCGGCGAUGUCCGAAUGGGGAAACCCAGUGCAAUUCGUUGCACUAUCGUUAACUGAAUACAUAGGUUAACGAGGCGAACCGGGGGAACUGAAACAUCUAAGUACCCCGAGGAAAAGAAAUCAACCGAGAUUCCCCCAGUAGCGGCGAGCGAACGGGGAGCAGCCCAGAGUCUGAAUCAGCUUGUGUGUUAGUGGAACGGUCUGGAAAGUCCGACGGUACAGGGUGAUAGUCCCGUACACCAAAAUGCACAGGUUGUGAACUCGAAGAGUAGGGCGGGACACGUGGUAUCCUGUCUGAAUAUGGGGGGACCAUCCUCCAAGGCUAAAUACUCCUGACUGACCGAUAGUGAACCAGUACCGUGAGGGAAAGGCGAAAAGAACCCCGGCGAGGGGAGUGAAAAAGAACCUGAAACCGUGUACGUACAAGCAGUGGGAGCACCUUCGGGUGUGACUGCGUACCUUUUGUAUAAUGGGUCAGCGACUUAUAUUCUGUAGCAAGGUUAACCGUAUAGGGGAGCCGCAGGGAAACCGAGUCUUAACUGGGCGUUAAGUUGCAGGGUAUAGACCCGAAACCCGGUGAUCUAGCCAUGGGCAGGUUGAAGGUUGGGUAACACUAACUGGAGGACCGAACCGACUAAUGUUGAAAAAUUAGCGGAUGACUUGUGGCUGGGGGUGAAAGGCCAAUCAAACCGGGAGAUAGCUGGUUCUCCCCGAAAGCUAUUUAGGUAGCGCCUCGUGAACUCAUCUUCGGGGGUAGAGCACUGUUUCGGCUAGGGGGUCAUCCCGACUUACCAACCCGAUGCAAACUACGAAUACCGAAGAAUGUUAUCACGGGAGACACACGGCGGGUGCUAACGUCCGUCGUGAAGAGGGAAACAACCCAGACCGCCAGCUAAGGUCCCAAAGUCAUGGUUAAGUGGGAAACGAUGUGGGAAGGCACAGACAGCCAGGAUGUUGGCUUAGAAGCAGCCAUCAUUUAAAGAAAGCGUAAUAGCUCACUGGUCGAGUCGGCCUGCGCGGAAGAUGUAACGGGGCUAAACCAUGCACCGAAGCUGCGGCAGCGACACUAUGUGUUGUUGGGUAGGGGAGCGUUCUGUAAGCCUGCGAAGGUGACCUGUGAGGGUUGCUGGAGGUAUCAGAAGUGCGAAUGCUGACAUAAGUAACGAUAAAGCGGGUGAAAAGCCCGCUCGCCGGAAGACCAAGGGUUCCUGUCCAACGUUAAUCGGGGCAGGGUGAGUCGACCCCUAAGGCGAGGCCGAAAGGCGUAGUCGAUGGGAAACAGGUUAAUAUUCCUGUACUUGGUGUUACUGCGAAGGGGGGACGGAGAAGGCUAUGUUAGCCGGGCGACGGUUGUCCCGGUUUAAGCAUGUAGGCUG